ACAACACCCUGAGACACGUUUCUUGCAGGCUCCCGAUUGGCCCUGCAUCCAUGUUUGCUGCAGAAUCAAGCCGAUUGAACCACUCUUUGGGCCAUCUCUCGGUCUUCCGUGCAGUUUUUCGUGCAACGCCCACAUCGUCUCCGGCUCUCGUCGUCUGUUGCCUGCGUGUAUCGGCCAUUCAGGUGUUGAGCAAUUCACGCUUGGUUCUGCAGCUUGAUUCGCUUCUCUCGAAACGGGAGCAAGAAUUUGAAGUCGGCGUCUGGACGUUUCAUCGACCCACCAACCAAAUGCACCGCCUCCGUCAUCCACCACAUCCUUGUCCCUCACGUUAAACCCAAAUGGGGUCUGAAUAGAAGCCACACGCAACAAGCAUAUAGAGGGUUUUGAUGUCGAACAGGCCAGUCUCUUACUGGUUGGCAUCAGGCUAUCAGCAAUAAGCUGUGGAUUACACGCCACAACCGACGAACGAACUUUCGCCGGAGGACUCCCUUGUCGUUCCCGGCGUGCGUCAUGCCUGCGAAGGACGAGGACCGGGAUCGCCAACGCAGGAGUCAGAGAGAAAAGGACAGGGAACAACGUCGCCCUCGAUAUCGCUCCCCACCAUCGUUAUUCGAAGGAGAUGCUGUUGAGAAGGAAGGCAGCAGACAUUCUGAUACGAGAUACGAGAGACGGACUCCGAGGAUAUUCCAUAGGACAAGACCAAGCGAACUCACACCAAGAGAAAGGGAUCGAAGGAGAGCUGUCACAGGAGAUUAUAGGUUGAACUCGUCAAAUCUCUCCAUGCCCGCCACCGACUCGAAUUCCCGCCCCUCCUCUGCCUUUUUUGUGGAGUCGAAGCCCAAUUUACCAUAUCCGUCAUUUUCCAAAGCGCACAGCAAGGAAGCGGUGGGGUUUCUGGGGAGCAGGGAAAACAUCGGGCAACCCAAAGUGGAUAUCUUGACGCCUGAGCCAACUGAUCUAACUACGGGAGAAGAAACAAAUGGCAAGACAAGAGGAGAUGAUAUCAAUCCUACCGAGCAGGAGAAGGCAUCUAGACGGCAUAGCGCUCACCGCUCCCCUCCAAGCCCCCCGUUAACGAACCUUGACCAACAGUCUACAAGGAGAGAGAGCACCACAGGUGGGAACAAAAAAUCGGAGGAGAAACGGAGUGCAACGAAGAGUCAGGAUGAAAAGAAAAAACAUAGGCCCAACCCCAUCUCCAAGGAGUCCACCUCAAGCAUGCGCCGCAAGUCAGAUGAAGGUUCGAAAACGAGCAGCAGAGGGUCAGGACCAAGUACCCCUGGAAAGUUAUUGUUUGAAUCUCUCCAGUCUCAGCACAACAAGUCUCCAACCAGCGGAAAUACAUCCAAAUCAAGACAACUAGGGAGGAGUGACUCAGCCAAACAAUCAUCCCGCCGAAAAGCAAAGCCCUCAUCUCCAGACCUAUCAUCAGUAACGCAGGUUGAGAUCGAAGUUGUACCCUCCACUGUGGACUCAGAUGCAACAUCUAUCGCACCGAAUCAGCAACCUACAUAUCAACGUCCCUCUAUCACCAUGAGAGCUCCGUCUGAGCCCCACAGAAUCCCUACACCGAGAAGAUCAUCCCCAACAAAGCUGAGCCCGCCGUCAGCGCCUCACUCCCCAUCUACCGGAUUGCCCCCGCCCCCGCCCCCGCCUCCUAAUGUACCCAUUACGAUCCCAAAAGUGGAUUAUUUACUCAACAAUGGUGGGCUCAAAUAUCAUGUCCCUAGAAGUUUCUUUGGAGCUGGAGAGUCUGCAAAUAUGCCACAGGAUUUCUUCAAACCCGCGGCAGCUGCUUCCAAACUUUUCGAGCCGUACAAUAAGUUGCUUGAUGACUAUGGAGUAGUGAUAUCGAAAUGUGGAUCCCUCGCCGUGGCCACAGGGUAUAGAUCGGUUGCAAGGAGGCUCCUGGACAGGUUAGAAGCCGUCUUUGCGCGGGAUAUUUCGUCUGAAUCGUGCCAAUGUAUAAUGUGUUCCCCUACCGAGGUUGCGCCAGAGGGAGUCAGCUGGGGCGAGGUGUUAGAGCUUGUUUCUGGUCGACAGGAUCUACCGCCGUGGCCUCCAUUUAAAAUCGCUGCCAAACCGGGGGCUGCAGAUAUUACGGAUUCAAACAGCGACGAACCGAUGCAGAAGAUGGAUAUGGACAUUCCCGAAGAGUUUAGGGAACAUUUCGUUCGCCAGUCCAGGAAAACGAAGCACGCUGUGGAUAAAUGGCUUUCUUACAGUAACGACCAAGGCGGCAGCCCGCCUGAUGAGAUUGACGAUGAGACACUGAUGUUUGCCAUGCUAACUUAUCUAGACCAGGAGGAGAGAGAACUCUUCAGUGCGCUAUUAGACAUUGCAAUGACACCCCCAGAGCCAAAGCGUGAAACUCCCAAACCACGAGAUCGACCGGAUGCCAUCGUUCAGUCCGGCGCUGCAAUCCAACGUUUAUACAGACUAUCCAUACCACCUCGUGACCCUGAAACAGCGCUCUAUUUGCUGAAGAACCCGGGCAUACACCAUGUCCUAGCCACACUCGCAGCCAUCAGCAGCGAUGAAUGGGACAUUCUCAUCUCCGGACGUUUCGAUGGAUUUCUCCGUAGUGGGGCAGACGAUGACCUUCCCCAAACGUUCUCCGCCGCAUCCGUCCGGGCCCCUCGACCUGGAUCCACUCGACCGGUUUCGCAAGCUUCUAACGCCAGGCUCCGAAACAUCAGCCAGCCGUACGGUGGUCCUUCAUAUCCAUCCCGCACCUCCACCCCAGCCCCUGCCUCAUUUGGCGCCCCCAUCUACGUCGACGAAGACACCGAAAUCGCCGCCCUUGCUGAAAUUGAACGGGACAUCUACCUCGGCAUGGAAGCGCUGGAAGACGCCUUUGAAGUCCUGCAUGUCAAAGCGGAAGCGAUCCGUGGCGCCCUUCGGGAACGCGGUGCGGGGUUGCAAGUUGCCAAUCUAACACGGCGCGGGGGAUCCGGGGGUGUUGAAGUGCUCUCGGGCACGCCUGCGGCGGGCAUCGGGGGCUAUGGUCUGAAUGGCAACGGCGGCUGGGAGAGCUCAACGGAUGACGGGAUUGAAGAUGGGGUUUCAGAGAUAUUGCCCUCCGAUUCCGCGAGUAAUAUUAGCUCGAGUAGGAGGCGGCGGCCGAAGAGACGGAGCGAGAGGCGGACGCCGGUUGUUUUUGAGGAGGAGGAGGAAGGCGAAGAGGAUGAUAUUGUUGCGACCCAUGAUUACAGGACGAGGAAGAAGUAUUAGGCUGCGGAGAGCUGUUGGGGGACGAGUGAUUGGGGUGAAUCUGGGACGGUGCCGCAGGUUGUUGUGUCAGUGAGUGUGGUAAACAAAAUAUCAUGGAUCUUUUCCCUCAUUCCCAUUUGUCCUUGCUUUUGCUUCCUCGUUUUCUUUCAGCCCUCUCUCUCUCUCACUAACCUUUUUUCUUUUUUUUUUUUUUGGCGCAUCUACUGUUAGUUGAUUUUUACGUACCCUGCAUGUCUUGCACUUGCUAUGCAUCAUUUCCCGAAAGGAAGUAAAGGGAAUGCAAAACGACACUUAUGACAUUACAUGGCUUGAUACCUGAUACCUGAUACCUGAAAACGAACCACUAUGAAAUGAGAAGCAUGAUGAUGGAACAAAAGCAUCAGCAGGCGGAAAAAUGUUGAUACCGCGUAUCCUUUCCUCCGUUUUCGUUUUUUCUUUUAUCUUUUUAUUGAUUUUCAUUCCGCCUUUCAUGCUCCCGCGUUCUCUCUCUCUCUCUCUCCCUAGCAUGAGGUUUGUUUUCAUAAUUUGGGCAUAUACUAUUUCCACUUGUUAUCCAUCUUCUCCCUCCGUGAUGUCUUACCUCUCUUCCCCAUACCAUAAGAUAUACCGCCAAACAGAAUUGUCCAUCUGAAUGUCAUUUCAUCUCCUUGCACCCCUUAGAACUCGCAUUUGGAAAAAAAUACAUAAAUAAGUAAAGUCCCUCCCACGAAAAUCACGUCUUUUCCUCUAUCGCUGUCCAUCACUCAUGCAUUGCCAUUCCGUUCAUUAUAUAUCUAACGUUAUAUUAUAUACUAGUAUAUAUAUAUUGUUUUACGUUCCCCUCUAUCUUUUUUCCUUUUUUUGCCUUUUCCUCUUUUUGCUACCCGCCAUGUGAAACGGCGCUGUUUGUUGAGUGUAUUUCCACGUUGUUGCCAUCGGGGUUAUCAUAUCCGCCUUUCUCCCCCUAUUUCAGUUGAUAAGGAGCGUACCGUUGAACGCAUUGAGCGCACUGGUACUGCCACAUAUAUGGAUGCAUGCAUUAUUACUAGUACCUACUGGAGUUACGGGGUUAGGGUUGUAUAAGUUCUGAAUAUAUAUAUCUUCAUCACUCGGUGGAAGCGAAGGAACGCAAUUUCUACCAUAAAACAAAACAAGCAAAAAAUAAGUA
RNAcentral lists this small RNA (4381 nucleotides) under Histoplasma capsulatum var. duboisii H88. RNAcentral's name for it is "Histoplasma capsulatum H88 hypothetical RNA". Lineage: Eukaryota; Fungi; Ascomycota; Eurotiomycetes; Onygenales; Ajellomycetaceae. The record is from RNAcentral.